AGCAGUGUGGCUUAGUGGAAAGAGCCUGGGCUAGGGAAUCAGUGGUCAUGGGUUCUAAUCCCCCCUCUGCCA
Non-coding RNA from Ornithorhynchus anatinus (platypus), 72 nucleotides. The record is from Rfam. NCBI's taxonomy places the organism in Eukaryota, Metazoa, Chordata, Mammalia, Monotremata, Ornithorhynchidae.